This 322-nucleotide ribosomal RNA is filed under the name uncultured bacterium. RNAcentral describes it as "bacterial SSU rRNA". It matches the Rfam family "Bacterial small subunit ribosomal RNA", at positions 83 to 422 of the family's 1533-position model. The record is from RNAcentral.
GUUGGAGGUCUAGUGGCGCACGGGUGCGUAACGCGUGGGAAUCUGCCCUUGGGUUCGGAAUAACACAGAGAAAUUUGUGCUAAUACCGGAUGAUGUCUUCGGACCAAAGAUUUAUCGCCCAGGGAUGAGCCCGCGUAGGAUUAGGUAGUUGGUGGGGUAAUGGCCCACCAAGCCGACGAUCCCUAGCUGGUCUGAGAGGAUGAUCAGCCACACUGGGACUGAGACACGGCCCAGACUCCUACGGGAGGCAGCAGUGGGGAAUAUUGGACAAUGGGCGCAAGCCUGAUCCAGCAAUGCCGCGUGAGUGAUGAAGGCCUUAGGG